AUUUCCCAGAAGCCCCUUGGGCAGUGUUGCCUGGACCCCAAGGGCCCUUUACAUUGCGUUCUUAACGGUUCAGUCACCUGAACCGUUAUUAUUCACAGGCGGGCGAGAAGUCCGAGCUAGGGAUCCUGAAAAGGAGGGAACAAUUGUUGUAGCAGGUCUAAAAGUUCAGGUCCAGGAAAUGGAAACAUUGCUUUGCUUUUCCUGAAUUGUCCAGUGACCUAUCCCAGGCCUUCCUUUCCAGUGAACAAUGGACCAUGCAGAGUCUCGCUCUGUUGCCCAGGCUGGAGUGCAAUGAUGCGAUCUUGGCUUACUGCAACCUCCAUCUCCCAGGUUCAAGAAAUUCUCCUGCCUCAGCCUCCCGAGUAGCUGGGAUUACAGGCGCCUGCUACCACGCCCAGCUAAUUUUUUGUAUUUUUAAUAGAGAUGGGGUUUCACCAUGUUGGCCAGGCUGGUCUCGAACUCCUGACCUCAGGUGAUCCACCCGCCUCGG
RNAcentral lists this small RNA (490 nucleotides) under Pan troglodytes (chimpanzee). RNAcentral describes it as "retained intron". The record is from RNAcentral. Lineage: Eukaryota; Metazoa; Chordata; Mammalia; Primates; Hominidae.